This 254-nucleotide ribosomal RNA is filed under the name uncultured bacterium. RNAcentral's name for it is "partial 16S ribosomal RNA". It matches the Rfam family "Bacterial small subunit ribosomal RNA", at positions 524 to 776 of the family's 1533-position model. The record is from RNAcentral.
UACGGAGGGUGCGAGCGUUGUCCGGAAUCACUGGGCGUAAAGCGCACGUAGGCGGCUUUGUAAGUUAGAGGUGAAAAGCCCGGGGCUCAACUCCGGAAUUGCCUUUAAGACUGCAUCGCUAGAAUUGUGGAGAGGUAAGUGGAAUUCCGAGUGUAGAGGUGAAAUUCGUAGAUAUUCGGAAGAACACCAGUGGCGAAGGCGACUUACUGGACACAUAUUGACGCUGAGGUGCGAAAGCGUGGGGAGCAAACAGG